UACGGAGGGGGCCAGCGUUGUUCGGAAUCAUUGGGCGUAAAGGGCGCGUAGGCGGCCGAUCAAGUCGGAGGUGAAAUCCCUCGGCUCAACUGAGGAACUGCCUCCGAUACUGUUCGGCUUGAGUCCUGGAGAGGGUAGUGGAAUUCCCGGUGUAGCGGUGAAAUGCGUAGAGACUGGGAAGAACACCAGUGGCGAAGGCUGCUACCUGGACAGGUACUGACGCUGAAGCGCGAAAGCUAGGGGAGCAAACAGG
RNAcentral lists this ribosomal RNA (253 nucleotides) under uncultured bacterium. RNAcentral's name for it is "partial 16S ribosomal RNA". It matches the Rfam family "Bacterial small subunit ribosomal RNA", at positions 524 to 776 of the family's 1533-position model. The record is from RNAcentral.